This is a microRNA precursor of Bos indicus x Bos taurus (hybrid cattle), 58 nucleotides long. NCBI's taxonomy places the organism in Eukaryota, Metazoa, Chordata, Mammalia, Artiodactyla, Bovidae. The record is from Ensembl.
GGGCUCCUCGCCCCCUCCCUUGGUCGCCGGCUGUUGGUCCUUUUGUCAGUCUGCGUCU